RNAcentral lists this long non-coding RNA (2658 nucleotides) under Cimex lectularius (bed bug). RNAcentral's name for it is "uncharacterized LOC106667452". Lineage: Eukaryota; Metazoa; Arthropoda; Insecta; Hemiptera; Cimicidae. The record is from RNAcentral.
UUUUUAUUUAUUUUUUUAUUUUUUAAAUCAAAAAAGGUUGUUACGUUAAAUUUAACUAGCAGAUUUGUAUAAUUACUUACGAAAAAGAAAGUACCUGAAAAUUGCUUUUACAAGCAUACUUUUUUUUUUAAAUAAUUCCUUUUAAAAUGCAAUAGAAAUGUAACAAAUAACGAAAUACACGUUUAAACGAAUACCACGGAAUUUUCACUUAAUUUGUGCGACACUAUGCAUCUCCCCACUAACUGAUAUGUUUCACUCAGAAAACGAGUUUUCGUGGUGUAAAACAAGUAGAAAAUAACAUAAAUGGCAUGUGUUAAUUUUAUCUAGUAAGAUACAAGCUCUUUUUAUUAAGAUAUGGUAAAAUUUCGGAAAUAUAAUUUUUUGACUAGUAUUUUCUUCAAAAAGCUUUACCCUUUGUACAAUGUGGCAAUAUUUUAAACUGAUAUUUUUGAUAUUUCUAGACUGAUUUACAUCACUUUUAUCAUGUUUUUUAAUAGCAAAUGUAUCUAAUAAUACGAUGGUAAAAAAACUGAGUUGAAAAAUUUUGAGAUAAUUAUAUUACUGGUUGAAAAUCGUUAAUAAGGCUAGCAACCAUACUGAGUUGGCGUUUAGUCCCAAGCACGUUCACUCUUAUUUCUAUGCACCCCAUACAAUGAAGAUGACAGGCCUCUUAAUGUACGCAAAAUGUUGAAAAGGAGAACUGAUGUAUCAGAAUGGACGGGGAUUAUAAGAUUACAAUUCUAUAGACAAAAGUCAGCUUUUUUAAAGAAAUAUAGAAAAGCAUUCAAUCACUUAGGUCAUUUUGUGCAUUGAUUUUACGUCCAAUGUACACCACAUCCCUUAUAGGUCCAGGGCUUCAAUAUUAUGUUUGUAAGGCCGUCGGUCCCUAGAAUGGACACGCAAACCCAUACCCUACCUCUCAUGUCACAGGAUCAUAUAUUUCAUGUUAAAAUUGAAUUGAGUAUAUUUCGGUCAUGUCUGGAUUGUUUAAGAAUUCACAUAGGUUAGAAACGGUACUGUAAGAAUAUCAGCAAUAUUUGUCAGAUUAUAUUUAGUACUUUACUGUUCAUAUUUCCUACAUUCCAUGAGCAUGUUUUAUUGUUGCUGGGGCAUCACAUGUGCAUUUUUGUGGGGCUCAUGGUUUAUAAAAUAUCCGUGACUGAGUCUAACCUGUCCUACUCUCAUUGGUGUAAGGCAGCUUUUUUUCCCCGGUUAACAAUGUUUUAUUUCAUAUUUUGUUGUACUAUUCCACUCUUUUUGCUACUGUCUCCAGAUAUUAAUUUUCACAAAUGAGUUACGGUCUCUAUUCAAUACUUUAUUACAACCGAACCCCUCUAAAUGUGGCAACUUUUCACCACCUUGUCAAAUUUUUGUUUCAUAUAAUGUCGCAAUGUCCACUUUUAAGAAUCAUCACAGCUAGUGGACCAUGUAAUUUUUUUUUAUGCUUUUUAAUUUACCAUCUGAUUAUAUUUAAAAUAAAUCCCAAGGUAGGCUGCCCGUACCAAAACAGCUUUGAGUCACUUAUACUCAUAUUUAUGUAUGUACCUUCAAUUUUAAACUAAGACCUAUAAAAAAAAAAAAAAUAACGUAGGCUUAAAUUUUAAACUAAGACCUAUUGACAAAAACAAUCAGUGUGAAUUUCAUGGGCUAAUGCCAGCUUUGACUAUACAGUAGAUCUACCAUUACACAAUGCAAAAAACACUUUUGACUACCAAAAUCACUCAUUUUUUUAGCCAAACGAAAAAUUUCGUUGUCUUUACAAAUACAAUGUAAUAACAUUUUUAUUUGAUUAAAAUGUUAAUGAAAUCAUAAUAUUGUGGCUAUUCACAUGAAAGCUCUGAUGUAUUUUUUUUUUUUUAUGUUUAGGGAUACCACUUGGUUCUGCCAUAAGGGUGAUUCAUAAUUUUUUUAAUUAGUUAAACCUGCUUUACCAGUGAAUACAAGGACAAAAACCCAAAUAUAAAUAAAAGUGCAGUCGUCAUCAGAGGACAUUUUUCUGGAAAGCAGCCUAUGUGAUCCAAGAGACAACUACAACAGGUGCUCCGGACUGGGAAGAACUGAUCCAAAAGGUAAAUGUUUUAUACUACACGUUUAACCGUCACUGCCUGUUUUAAAAAUUUGCAGCUAGAAAAGACAGGAUCAAGAGAAAAAUGCGUACGUGUAAGAAAAUCAAAAUUUUCACUCGGGAAAUCUUGAGGAACAGGAGGCUGCGGUACUACCAAGUGUACACAGAUUCUGAAGAUGAAGUGUGAUUUUUUAAAAAGUCAAAUUAUCUAUUAAAAAAAACUGACUGUCAACAACUAAGAAGAUCCUCCUAAAUUGCUAUCUCUUUAUAUUAUUUUUUUCUUUUUAAAUAAACUUGGCAACUUUUAAUAAUAUAAUUUUUCAUUAUUUCAUGGCCUUUUUCAGAUGUCCACUACAGAAGAAAUCAAUAGAAAUAGGACAGAUCUUAAAACCAUAUUGCAAAAAACUUGCCUUACCAUCAAACAAUACAAAAAAAUUCUUGUUCUGUUUUAAGAACCCUGAAUACAAUUUUUUCCUCAAACCAGUGCACUUCAAAAGCAAUACAAAAAGAGGAUUUGGAUGAAUGUCUCCUAUUUAAAACAAUCACUCAAUAGGCAUCCAGUUCAAAUAUCAAAAUAAUACAAUUAAUUAAGG